This 229-nucleotide ribosomal RNA is filed under the name uncultured bacterium. RNAcentral's name for it is "partial 16S ribosomal RNA". It matches the Rfam family "Bacterial small subunit ribosomal RNA", at positions 118 to 348 of the family's 1533-position model. The record is from RNAcentral.
UGAGCAAUCUGCCCUUCACAUCGGAAUAACCAUUGGAAACGAUGGCUAAUACCGAAUAUGACUUCGGAUCGCAUGAUCUGAAGUGGAAAGCUCCGGCGGUGAAGGAUGAGCUCGCGGCCUAUCAGCUAGUUGGUGUGGGUAAUGGCCCACAAGGCGACGACGGGUAGCCGGCCUGAGAGGGCGACCGGCCACACUGGGACUGAGACACGGCCCGGACUCGUACGGGAGG